AGUAAAUUGGUUAAGUUAGAAAGGGCGCACGGUGGAUGCCUUGGCACUAGGAGCCGAAGAAGGACGGGACUAACACCGAUAUGCUUUGGGGAGCUGUACGUAAGCGUUGAUCCAGAGAUUUCCGAAU
This 127-nucleotide ribosomal RNA is filed under the name Listeria monocytogenes. RNAcentral's name for it is "partial 23S ribosomal RNA". It matches the Rfam family "Bacterial large subunit ribosomal RNA", at positions 1 to 119 of the family's 2925-position model. The record is from RNAcentral. Lineage: Bacteria; Bacillati; Bacillota; Bacilli; Caryophanales; Listeriaceae.